CCCUUAGAUGUUCUGGGCCGCACGCGUGCUACACUGAGUGGAUCAGCGGGUCAGGUUGCGCGAAAGUGUUUCCUAAUCUUGAAAUCCGCUCGUGAUGGGGAUUGACGGUUGCAAUUUUCCGUCAUGAACGAGGAAUACCUUGUAAGCGCGGGUCAUCAUCCCGCGCUGAAUACGUCCCUGCCCUUUGUACACACCGCCCGUCGCUACUACCGAUUGGAUGGCUUAGUGAGACCCUCGGACCGAUAGGCUGUCGCCGCGGCAACGUGGCGACCGGCCCGUCGGGAAGAAGGUCAAACUUGACUGUCUAGAGGAAGUAAAAGUCGUAACA
Molecule: ribosomal RNA, 328 nt
Filed under: uncultured eukaryote
Lineage: Eukaryota
Description: partial 18S ribosomal RNA
Rfam family: Eukaryotic small subunit ribosomal RNA
Source: RNAcentral